This 122-nucleotide non-coding RNA is filed under the name Gracilibacillus phocaeensis. RNAcentral describes it as "ylbH leader". It matches the Rfam family "ylbH leader". Rfam says of the family: This family is a putative regulatory RNA structure that is found upstream of the ylbH gene in B. subtilis and related low GC Gram-positive bacteria. The record is from RNAcentral. Lineage: Bacteria; Bacillati; Bacillota; Bacilli; Caryophanales; Bacillaceae.
AAAAAACCUGCAGCUUAUUCAACUGCAGGCUCUUUUUAUCGUCUCAAACAGGAGAUGAUAAAAAGAUAAAGGGAGAGGAGAAACCGGAAGAAGAACUUAUGGGGAAAUGUAAGUCUUCUCCG